GAUGAACGCUAGCGGCAGGCUUAAUACAUGCAAGUCGAGGGGCAGCAGGGAUAGCAAUAUUCGCUGGCGACCGGCGCACGGGUGCGUAACACGUAUACAAUCUGCCUUUAACAGGGGGAUAGCCCGGAGAAAUCCGGAUUAAUACCCCAUAAUAAAUUGAAUGGCAUCAUUUGAUUUUGAAAGCUCCGGCGGUUAGAGAUGAGUAUGCGUCUGAUUAGCUAGUUGGUGAGGUAACGGCUCACCAAGGCGACGAUCAGUAGGGGAUCUGAGAGGAUUAACCCCCACACGGAUACUGAGACACGGAUCCGACUCCUACGGGAGCAGCAGUAAGGAAUAUUGGACAAUGCCCGCAAGGGUGAUCCAGCCAUGCCGCGUGC
RNAcentral lists this ribosomal RNA (377 nucleotides) under uncultured bacterium. Its description in RNAcentral is "bacterial SSU rRNA". It matches the Rfam family "Bacterial small subunit ribosomal RNA", at positions 28 to 404 of the family's 1533-position model. The record is from RNAcentral.